UAGUCCACGCCGUAAACGAUGGUCACUAGCUGUUCGAACUUCGGUUUGAGUGGCUAAGCGAAAGUGAUAAGUGACCCACCUGGGGAGUACGUUCGCAAGAAUGAAACUCAAAGGAAUUGACGGGGCCCGCACAAGCGGUGGAGCAUGUGGUUUAAUUCGAUGAUACGCGAGGAACCUUACCAGGGCUUAAAUGUAAAUUGACAGGUUUAGAGAUAGACUUUUCUUCGGACAAUUUACAAGGUGCUGCAUGGUUGUCGUCAGCUCGUGCCGUGAGGUGUCAGGUUAAGUCCUAUAACGAGCGCAACCCCUGUUGUUAGUUGCCAGCGAUUCAAGUCGGGAACUCUAGCAAGACUGCCAGUGCAAACUGUGAGGAAGGUGGGGAUGACGUCAAAUCAUCACGGCCCUUACGUCCUGGGGCUACACACGUGCUACAAUGGUAGUUACAAAGGGGAAACGAUAGAGCGAUCUGGAGUAAAUCUCAAAAAAGCUAAUCUUAGUUCGGGAUU
This 506-nucleotide ribosomal RNA is filed under the name uncultured bacterium. RNAcentral describes it as "bacterial SSU rRNA". It matches the Rfam family "Bacterial small subunit ribosomal RNA", at positions 791 to 1300 of the family's 1533-position model. The record is from RNAcentral.